GAUGAAGAACGUAGCGAAAUGCGAUACGUAAUGUGAAUUGCAGAAUUCAGUGAAUCAUCGAGUCUUUGAACGCACAUUGCGCCCCCUGGUAUUCCGGGGGGCAUGCCUGUCCGAGCGUCAUUGCUGCCCUCAAGCACGGCUGGUGUGUUGGGCCUCCGUCCUCCUCCCGGGGGACGGGCCCGAAAGGCAGCGGCGGCACCGCGUCCGGUCCUCGAGCGUAUGGGGCUUCGUCACCCGCUCUUGUAGGCCCGGCCGGCGCUUGCCGACACAUCAAUCUUUUUUCCAGGUUGACCUCGGAUCAGGUAGGGAUACCCGCUGAACUUAAGCAUAUCAAUAAGCGGAGGA
Molecule: unclassified non-coding RNA, 345 nt
Filed under: soil metagenome
Description: partial contains 5.8S ribosomal RNA, internal transcribed spacer 2, and large subunit ribosomal RNA
Rfam family: 5.8S ribosomal RNA (bases 1-120)
Source: RNAcentral